This 253-nucleotide ribosomal RNA is filed under the name uncultured bacterium. Its description in RNAcentral is "partial 16S ribosomal RNA". It matches the Rfam family "Bacterial small subunit ribosomal RNA", at positions 524 to 776 of the family's 1533-position model. The record is from RNAcentral.
UACGAAGGGGACUAGCGUUGUUCGGAAUUACUGGGCGUAAAGCGCACGUAGGCGGAUUUGUUAGUCAGGGGUGAAAUCCCGGGGCUCAACCUCGGAACUGCCUUUGAUACUGCAAAUCUCGAGUCCGAUAGAGGUGGGUGGAAUUCCUAGUGUAGAGGUGAAAUUCGUAGAUAUUAGGAAGAACACCAGUGGCGAAGGCGGCUCACUGGCCCGGUACUGACGCUGAGGCACGAAAGCGUGGGGAGCAAACAGG